This 253-nucleotide ribosomal RNA is filed under the name uncultured bacterium. RNAcentral describes it as "partial 16S ribosomal RNA". It matches the Rfam family "Bacterial small subunit ribosomal RNA", at positions 524 to 776 of the family's 1533-position model. The record is from RNAcentral.
UACGUAGGGUGCGAGCGUUGUCCGGAUUUAUUGGGCGUAAAGAGCUCGUAGGCGGUCUGUCGCGUCUGCUGUGAAAACUCGGGGCUUAACCCCGGGCCUGCAGUGGGUACGGGCAGACUAGAGUGCGGUAGGGGAGACUGGAAUUCCUGGUGUAGCGGUGAAAUGCGCAGAUAUCAGGAGGAACACCGGUGGCGAAGGCGGGUCUCUGGGCCGUAACUGACGCUGAGGUGCGAAAGCGUGGGGAGCAAACAGG